AGCGAACGCUGGCGGCAGGCUUAACACAUGCAAGUCGAGCGCCCGUAGCAAUACGGGAGCGGCAGACGGGUGAGUAACACGUGGGAACGUACCCUUCAGUUCGGAACAACCCAGGGAAACUUGGGCUAAUACCGGAUACGUCCGUAAGGAGAAAGAUUUAUCGCUGAAGGAUCGGCCCGCGUCUGAUUAGCUAGUUGGUGGGGUAAUGGCCCACCAAGGCGACGAUCAGUAGCUGGUCNGAGAGGAUGAUCAGCCACACUGGGACUGAGACACGGCCCAGACUCCUACGGGAGGCAGCAGUGGGGAAUAUUGGACAAUGGGCGAAAGCCUGAUCCAGCAAUGCCGCGUGAGUGAUGAAGGCCUUAGGGUUGUAAAGCUCUUUUACCCGGGAUGAUAAUGACAGUACCGGGAGAAUAAGCUCCGGCUAACUCCGUGCCAGCAGCCGCGGUAAC
This 452-nucleotide ribosomal RNA is filed under the name uncultured bacterium. RNAcentral's name for it is "bacterial SSU rRNA". It matches the Rfam family "Bacterial small subunit ribosomal RNA", at positions 29 to 524 of the family's 1533-position model. The record is from RNAcentral.